UGAGGAAUAUUGGGCAAUGCCCGCAAGGGUGACCCAGCAACGCCGCGUGGAGGAUGAAUGUCGUAAGAUUGUAAACUCCUGUUAGAGGGGAAGAAUAGUACCGGUUGGACCGGUAUAUGACUGUACCCUCAGAGAAAGCCCCGGCUAACUACGUGCCAGCAGCCGCGGUAAUACGUAGGGGGCAAGCGUUGUCCGGAUUUACUGGGGGUAAAGGGCGCGCAGGCGGGAUAAAUAGUCAGUGGUGAAAUCCUACAGCUUAACUGUAGAACUGCCUUUGAUACUUUUAUUCUUGAGUUCGGGAGAGAGAGACGGAAUUCCAGGUGUAGUGGUGAAAUACGUAGAUAUCUGGAAGAACACCAGUUGCGAAGGCGGUCUCUUGAUCCGACACUGACGCUGAGGCGCGAAAGCGUGGGGAGCAAACA
Molecule: ribosomal RNA, 422 nt
Filed under: uncultured bacterium
Lineage: Bacteria
Description: bacterial SSU rRNA
Rfam family: Bacterial small subunit ribosomal RNA
Source: RNAcentral